This is a long non-coding RNA of Labrus mixtus (cuckoo wrasse), 1198 nucleotides long. RefSeq lists it as uncharacterized. The record is from RefSeq and is a predicted model, not a curated record. The transcript has 2 exons. Lineage: Eukaryota; Metazoa; Chordata; Actinopteri; Labriformes; Labridae.
UAGUGUAUAAGUCCGGUCCUCUGAGGUCCGUCCGGGAUAAUGAAGGCGAGACGGCGCUGAUGCAAUAUGUAUGUGGAGGACUUUUAUUAUUAAUUUUUAUUUUAUGUUUAUAUAUUGUCAUAAUGAAAGUUACUUAUUGGAAACGGCUCACUACAUGCGCGAUUAUAGCCUAAAUAAAACCAUCGGUUUGAAUGAUUCUGAUGACGUGGAUCUGUCAGUAAAGUUUGAUAUUUAGUGAAAUAGGUUUGCUUUGUUGUUAAGGGAGCGAGCAUUGUGCAGCAUAAAUGAGGCGGUGGUGUAUUCUGAAGCAGAGGGGGAGAGAGGAGUGGUUCUGUCAACACACACAACAACAGGUAUCAGGUUUCUGGUGUGCUCGUGUGAUUUGUUGUGAUGAUGGUGCCGGUCAGACACUACAGUGGGGAUAGCAUGGUCAGUGUAAACAAACUUGCAUCGGGCAGCCCUAUGCACGUAGUGAGGACGGCGCAGGAGUCCGAAAGAUUUAAUGGAAGCAAGGUUGUCCGGAGAGAAGUGACAGGCGAGAUUCCGGAGUUGCAGAGCGGAGUAUGUUAGUAGUACCAUGUCCGCAGCAGGGAGAGCAGCUGCUAGCCGCAGGCUGAAAGCCGCAAGCUACCGGGCGCCAGCCGGGGUCAGGAAAACCGCAGGAAUGAGAGCCAAACCAGGAUAAGGAAAGGACCAAUUUUGUGGCAGACGGGGGACCCGUCUGGACACAAUCUGAGCAGGAGAGCAGCAGCCGGCAGUCUGGUUGUCAGGCAGGCCUCUUCGCCGCCAGCAGCCGAGCCAGAGUAGGGGGGAAGCGGCAGCCAGCGGUAGCCAACAGGUGGCGGGCCGCAGGGCGACGGGUCCAAGCCAGGUAGGGAGCCGACGUGGCCGACGAAAAAGGACGGUCCACCAAUAAGGCAGAAGAGGGUCCAGUGAUCACAGACUGGUGAGGAUAUCCUGAUAGCUGUGCGAGAAGCUAACAGCUGAUCGGCGGCUAGCGCUAACAGCUGAUCGUCAUAGAUGACGCCUGUGAGCUGGAACUGGACACAAACACAGUGAACAGAACCCUGAAACUGUCUGACAACAACAGGAAGGUGACACGUGUGAAGGAGCUUCAGUCAUAUCCUGAUCAUCCAGACAGAUUUGAAUACUGGUGUUCUCAGCUGCUGUGUAGGACUGGUCUGACUGGUCGCUGUUA